This 76-nucleotide transfer RNA is filed under the name bacterium. RNAcentral describes it as "tRNA-Ile". It matches the Rfam family "tRNA". From Rfam's summary of the family: Transfer RNA (tRNA) molecules are approximately 80 nucleotides in length. Their secondary structure includes four short double-helical elements and three loops (D, anti-codon, and T loops). The record is from RNAcentral.
GGGCCCAUAGCUCAAUGGUCAGAGCCACCGGCUCAUAACCGGUCUGUUCCAGGUUCGAGUCCUGGUGGGCCCACCA